RNAcentral lists this RNase P RNA (153 nucleotides) under Enterobacter asburiae. RNAcentral describes it as "partial RNase P RNA component class A". It matches the Rfam family "Bacterial RNase P class A", at positions 202 to 367 of the family's 367-position model. From Rfam's summary of the family: Ribonuclease P (RNase P) is a ubiquitous endoribonuclease, found in archaea, bacteria and eukarya as well as chloroplasts and mitochondria. Its best characterised activity is the generation of mature 5'-ends of tRNAs by cleaving the 5'-leader elements of precursor-tRNAs. Cellular RNase Ps are ribonucleoproteins. Lineage: Bacteria; Pseudomonadati; Pseudomonadota; Gammaproteobacteria; Enterobacterales; Enterobacteriaceae. The record is from RNAcentral.
CACGGUAAACUCCACCCGGAGCAAGGCCAAAUAGGGGUUCACAUGGUACGGCCCGUACUGAACCCGGGUAGGCUGCUUGAGCCAGUGAGCGAUUGCUGGCCUAGAUGAAUGACUGUCCAACGACAGAACCCGGCUUAUCGGUCAGCUUCAACU